CGGGCCGUAUUUGCCUAGGUGACUGGUUAGUGGGAUCAUAUACACAAAUAUGAAGGCGGGCUGGAACCUCUCGGGGUUACAGCCUUGCUGAAUUAUUCACCCUUGUCUUUUGCGUACUUCUUGUUUCCUUGGUGGGUUCGCCCACCACUAGGACAAACAUAAACCUUUUGUAAUUGCAAUCAGCGUCAGUAACAAAUUAAUAAUUACAACUUUCAACAACGGAUCUCUUGGUUCUGGCAUCGAUGAAGAACGCAGCGAAAUGCGAUAAGUAGUGUGAAUUGCAGAAUUCAGUGAAUCAUCGAAUCUUUGAACGCACAUUGCGCCCUUUGGUAUUCCAAAGGGCAUGCCUGUUCGAGCGUCAUUUGUACCCUCAAGCUUUGCUUGGUGUUGGGCGUCUUGUCUCUAGCUUUGCUGGAGACUCGCCUUAAAGUAAUUGGCAGCCGGCCUACUGGUUUCGGAGCGCAGCACAAGUCGCACUCUCUAUCAGCAAAGGUCUAGCAUCCAUUAAGCCUUUUUUUUCAACUUUUGACCUCGGAUCAGGUAGGGAUACCCGCUG
This 556-nucleotide ribosomal RNA is filed under the name Alternaria alternata. Its description in RNAcentral is "eukaryotic LSU rRNA". The stretch from base 208 to 361 matches the Rfam family "5.8S ribosomal RNA". Lineage: Eukaryota; Fungi; Ascomycota; Dothideomycetes; Pleosporales; Pleosporaceae. The record is from RNAcentral.